This 495-nucleotide ribosomal RNA is filed under the name uncultured bacterium. Its description in RNAcentral is "partial 16S ribosomal RNA". It matches the Rfam family "Bacterial small subunit ribosomal RNA", at positions 28 to 507 of the family's 1533-position model. The record is from RNAcentral.
GACGAACGCUGGCGGCGUGCCUAAUACAUGCAAGUAGAACGCUGAAGGAGGAGCUUGCUUCUCUGGAUGAGUUGCGAACGGGUGAGUAACGCGUAGGUAACCUGCCUGGUAGCGGGGGAUAACUAUUGGAAACGAUAGCUAAUACCGCAUAAGAGUAGAUGUUGCAUGACAUUUGCUUAAAAGGUGCAAUUGCAUCACUACCAGAUGGACCUGCGUUGUAUUAUCUAGUUGGUGGGGUAACGGCUCACCAAGGCGACGAUACAUAGCCGACCUGAGAGGGUGAUCGGCCACACUUGGACUGAGACACCGCCCAGACUCCUAAGGGAGGCAGAAGUAGGGAAUCUUCGGCAAUGGACGGAAGUCUGACCGAGCAACGCCGCGGGAGGGAAGAAGGUUUUCGGAUCGUAAAGCUCUGUUGUAAGAGAAGAACGAGUGUGAGAGUGGAAAGUUCACACUGUGACGGUAUCUUACCAGAAAGGGACGGCUAACUACGUG